CCUACGGGUGGCAGCAGUGGGGGAUAUUGCACAAUGGAGGAAACUCUGAUGCAGCGACGCCGCGUGGGGGAAGAAGGGCCUCGGCUUGUAAAGCCCUGUCAGCGGGGAAGAAAAUGACGGUACCUAAAGAAGAAGCCCCGGCUAACUACGUGCCAGCAGCCGCGGUAAUACGUAGGGGGCGAGCGUUGUCCGGAUUUACUGGGUGAAAGGGGGGCGCAGGCGGGCUUGAAAGCCGGAGGUGAAAGCUCCCGGCGAAACCCGUAGCUGCGUUUGAAACUGCGUGUCUGGAGUGAAGGAGGGGCAGGCGGAAUUCCUGGUGUAGCGGUGAAAUGCGUAGAUAUCAGGAGGAACACCGGUGGCGAAGGCGGCCUGCUGGGCUGUAACUGACGUUGAGGCUCGAAAGCGUGGGGAGCAAACAGGAUUAGAUACCCGAGUAGUC
Molecule: ribosomal RNA, 439 nt
Filed under: uncultured bacterium
Lineage: Bacteria
Description: partial 16S ribosomal RNA
Rfam family: Bacterial small subunit ribosomal RNA
Source: RNAcentral